UAAGGAAUAUUGGUCAAUGGACGCAAGUCUGAACCAGCCAUGCCGCGUGAAGGAUGAAGGUCCUCUGGAUUGUAAACUUCUUUUAUAGGGGAAGAAACCGGAAAAUUCUUUUCCGUUGACGGUACCCUGGGAAUAAGCACCGGCUAACUCCGUGCCAGCAGCCGCGGUAAUACGGAGGGUGCAAGCGUUAUCCGGAUUCACUGGGUUUAAAGGGUGCGUAGGUGGAUCUGUAAGUCAGUGGUGAAAUCUCCAAGCUUAACUUGGAAACUGCCGUUGAUACUAUAGAUCUUGAAUGCUGUGGAGGUGAGCGGAAUAUGUCAUGUAGCGGUGAAAUGCUUAGAUAUGACAUAGAACACCAAUUGCGAAGGCAGCUCACUACCCAGAUAUUGACACUGAGGCACGAAAGCGUGGGGAUCAAACAGGAUUAGAUACCCUGGUAGUCCACGCCCUAAACUAUGGAUACUCGACAUACGCGAUACACUGUGUGUGU
This 490-nucleotide ribosomal RNA is filed under the name uncultured bacterium. RNAcentral's name for it is "bacterial SSU rRNA". It matches the Rfam family "Bacterial small subunit ribosomal RNA", at positions 355 to 846 of the family's 1533-position model. The record is from RNAcentral.